AACGAACGCUGGCGGCGUGGAUAAGACAUGCAAGUCGAGCGGAGUAUAUUGGGUAGCAAUACUUGGUAUAUUCAGCGGCGCAAGGGUGCGUAACACGUGGGUAAUUUGCCAUGAAGUUUGGAAUAACUUGCUGAAAGGCGAGCUAAUACCGGAUGUGAAAAUUGAUGGGCAUCUAUUGAUUUUCAAAGUUGGGGACCGCAAGGCCUGACGCUUUAUGAUAAGCCCGCGGCCUAUCAGCUAGUUGGUGAGGUAACGGCUCACCAAGGCUAAGACGGGUAGCUGGUCUGAGAGGACGACCAGCCACACUGGAACUGAGACACGGUCCAGACACCUACGGGUGGCAGCAGUCGAGAAUUUUUCACAAUGGGCGAAAGCCUGAUGGAGCGACGCCGCGU
This 395-nucleotide ribosomal RNA is filed under the name uncultured bacterium. RNAcentral's name for it is "bacterial SSU rRNA". It matches the Rfam family "Bacterial small subunit ribosomal RNA", at positions 29 to 402 of the family's 1533-position model. The record is from RNAcentral.